This 253-nucleotide ribosomal RNA is filed under the name uncultured bacterium. RNAcentral describes it as "partial 16S ribosomal RNA". It matches the Rfam family "Bacterial small subunit ribosomal RNA", at positions 524 to 776 of the family's 1533-position model. The record is from RNAcentral.
UACGUAGGGUGCAAGCGUUGUCCGGAAUUACUGGGCGUAAAGGGCGCGUAGGCGGCCUUCUAAGUCAGACGUGAAAUCCCUCGGCUCAACCGGGGAACUGCGUCUGAGACUGGAAGGCUUGAAUCCGGGAGAGGGAUGUGGAAUUCCAGGUGUAGCGGUGAAAUGCGUAGAUAUCUGGAGGAACACCGGUGGCGAAGGCGGGUCUCUGGGCCGAUACUGACGCUGAGGAGCGAAAGCGUGGGGAGCGAACAGG